CACCCGCAGCACAAGUGGUGGUCACUUUUAUUGAGCCUAAAGCGUUCGUAGCCGGUUUUGUAAAUCUUUAGAUAAAGCCUGAAGCUUAACUCCAGAAAGUCUGAAGAGACUGCAAGACUUGAGAUCGGGUGAGGUUAAACGUACUUUCAGGGUAGGGGUAAAAUCCUGUAAUCCCGGAAGGACGACCAGUGGCGAAAGCGUUUAACUAGAACGAAUCUGACGGUAAGGAACGAAGGCUAGGGUAGCAAACCGG
Molecule: ribosomal RNA, 253 nt
Filed under: uncultured Ferroplasma sp.
Lineage: Archaea; Methanobacteriati; Thermoplasmatota; Thermoplasmata; Thermoplasmatales; Ferroplasmaceae
Description: partial 16S ribosomal RNA
Rfam family: Archaeal small subunit ribosomal RNA
Source: RNAcentral